RNAcentral lists this long non-coding RNA (737 nucleotides) under Mustela putorius furo (domestic ferret). RNAcentral's name for it is "lncRNA (ENSMPUG00000025495.1)". The record is from RNAcentral. Lineage: Eukaryota; Metazoa; Chordata; Mammalia; Carnivora; Mustelidae.
GGAUAAGAUUAUAAUAGGCUAGGAAUGCAUGGGGGUGUUCUAGGUCUUCUAGCCACAUUGUCAGUUGAAGAACAAAAACUACCCGUGUAAGUUCUAAGUCACGCAAAUACAUAUAAAGUCUAAGUCUGUCAUCAAGGGAGAGGGGAAUGCCUCCUUAGUCUGAGGGUUAGUCUAAGUUAGUGACCAGGAACUGACAAGGGAACAUCAAGGAGCUUUCUGGAACCUCGUUAUAAGCAGCCACGAGAAGCAGUUGGUAGAACUGGCCUAAGAGCUGUCCUUCUUUGACAAGUUAGUUCAUAUAUUUAAACAUUUAUUAAUCACUGGCUAUAAAUUCCAGCCCCACUGAUUAUGUGAAGCAACAAUGAUAGAAACAGAAUAGAAUUUAAGAGUAAGCUAUGGAACUUAGUGACUGAUUAGAUUGGAGAGGUGAGGAAAAACAGCUAAGGAGACUUUUCAGUUUUGUGGAUUCUAGAAAAUAUCAUUUGGGGAGGAACGAUGAGUUUUUAGUUUGGGGUGCACUGUAAUUGCAAGGUAUUAGAAUGUGAUUUUUCUUACCUUUUAAAGACCACUAUAAAUGGAAUAAGGAAGGCAGAAACCUAAUGUUAGUGCUUCAAGAGAAAUUGGAAGUUAUGCUUCUUUCAAAUGGACUCAGACGACCACAUCACACUCAACUCUAAACUUAUCACCAAGUAGCUUCCUACCAGUUUUCAGCCUAGGAAAAUGCAGAAAUGGGCCAU